Long non-coding RNA from Lactuca sativa (garden lettuce), 765 nucleotides. RefSeq lists it as uncharacterized. The record is from RefSeq and is a predicted model, not a curated record. Lineage: Eukaryota; Viridiplantae; Streptophyta; Magnoliopsida; Asterales; Asteraceae.
UUAAUUAAAUCAGGGCUACAUCCCACAACCACCAUAAACCCUUAUCAGUCACCUAGCGUCGACCACAUCUCUAUGAGAAGAAUCAAUUCUCUUAUUCUCCACAGCCACCAUUGCAACCGUAAUCCGACCGCCAUCAUUCUCUGUUAUCUUUUGAUUUCAAAUUUCAGCAGAUUCGUUUAUGAUAACCUCAGUUGUAGCUCUGUCUUCAUCUCGAUUUCUUGCGUGUAUAUAUAUAUAUAUAUAUAUAUAUAUAUAUAUAUAUAUAUAUAUAUAUAUAUAUAUAUAUAUAUAUAUAUAUAUAUAUAUAUAUAUAUAUAUCGGAAACCAACUGCACAACUCCAUCGUCAAACAUCACCGAGUAACCACCAACCUUUCCUCAUUGGUAUUCUGAGAUUGAACAAAGAAAAAGGAUGCUGGAAAGUUUUAGGUAUCACUACUGCAUGUCACAAAAGCUCACAAAUCAGACAAUAUUUAUUGUUUUAAAGAGGUGAUGACCAAUUACAAAUUAUUUGUAGUUUGCGAUUUGAUUCAAAGGGAAGAAUGGGAUUGCGAUCGAUUCAAGAGAAGACUGACAUAGGGAUGAAUUUUGCAACUUUUUUUUUUUUUUUGUUUCAGAAGCGGUUUAAUCCUUAUUUGUUAUGAUCAUGUAUAAAUAUAUGAACUUAGUCUUGGAACAUUUAUUUAUGAAUAUUUAGUUGUAUAAAUGUAUGAACUUGAUGGAAGUGAUUUAAAUCAUAUAUGAUUAAGAAUGUAUAGCAUUUUCUA